GCUUUUGUAGUUUAUCUAAAAACCCUGGUCUUGUAAACCAGAGAUAGGAAUUACAUCCUCCUAAGCU
This 67-nucleotide transfer RNA is filed under the name Neoperla ignacsiveci. Its description in RNAcentral is "tRNA-Thr". It matches the Rfam family "tRNA". From Rfam's summary of the family: Transfer RNA (tRNA) molecules are approximately 80 nucleotides in length. Their secondary structure includes four short double-helical elements and three loops (D, anti-codon, and T loops). Further hydrogen bonds mediate the characteristic L-shaped molecular structure. tRNAs have two regions of fundamental functional importance: the anti-codon, which is responsible for specific mRNA codon recognition, and the 3' end, to which the tRNAs corresponding amino acid is attached (by aminoacyl-tRNA synthetases). tRNAs cope with the degeneracy of the genetic code in two manners: having more than one tRNA (with a specific anti-codon) for a particular amino acid; and 'wobble' base-pairing, i.e. permitting non-standard base-pairing at the 3rd anti-codon position. The record is from RNAcentral. Lineage: Eukaryota; Metazoa; Arthropoda; Insecta; Plecoptera; Perlidae.